Paramisgurnus dabryanus is the source of this 1996-nucleotide non-coding RNA. NCBI's taxonomy places the organism in Eukaryota, Metazoa, Chordata, Actinopteri, Cypriniformes, Cobitidae. The record is from RefSeq and is a predicted model, not a curated record.
AUCGUGCUUUUUCUGUUAUUUGUGAACGUAUCCGUUAUAAUGGUUGAUUCGCUAUUCCACGGCAUGUUCCCGCCGAAAUUGGACUACGGUUACAUUAAUAUGAUUGUAAUAUGAAUAUUAAUCAAUUAAUAUGAUAUCUGGUCUUAUCAACUUAACCACUUGGUUGUUUAUUGCUUCAGAAAAGCACUUAAAUGUAAGGGCUUUUUGGACAACUGUUCGGUAGAAAAGCGUUGAUAUCGUAGUUCAGUCAGUAAAUAUACGAGAGGUCUUACAGGCGCCACAGACACCUCUGUCAGUCAUUUGUAAAGAGGAGCAGCACGGCAGCUGGAUGAGUGCGGUCAGUUAAUUAAUGCUGCUUGCUUAAUUUCAUGUUACUGAUUAAGUGUUUAUACUUAACGUUAGAUGAGAUGUUGGUGUUUUAUUGCUCGCGAAUUUGCAAUAACUGCAUUUAUCAGGCAUCACACGUUACGUCACACGCUUAUGCUUGUAUCUGCGGUCCCUCGCGCUGUAUCCAUGAUUUAAAGCGGAAUAAAACUCUUAACUCCUUUGUAAGGAAAAAGUCAAACAGUAGCCCUUCAAAUUAAAAAUAGUGAUGGUGAUCUUGUCAAUGCUGAGAUUUUAAUGCAUCAACAGCCAUUACAUCUGGCUGGAUCAGGAUUGAACAAGAAUCAGACAGCAAGGGUUGUCACAUCAGAAACGUAAUAACACAAACAUAAGAAACUUCACAGGGCUGUGACAGUGACAGUAUUUUACCACCGCGAUGGUAAUGCACCAAUUCACCACUGUGGUGCGGUGGUUAUAGAAUGUGUUUGUGUGAGGGGGGAGGCGGCAAUUUCUUUUUCCGCCGGUGGGUGCUCAUCACAACCUCAAGCUUUACUUCGCAAUGCCAGGUGCUCUAGAGUCUGGAGCGCUCAAAGGCUUUGAAGAGGUGGAAAGUGGCGCAGUCACGUUUUCGUGUGAAUUGUGAAGUUAAAGGCAGAUCACCGUGCAACUUGGUGAAGUCAUGUGUCUUUCCAGAUGGCCAAAUCUGUACCCCUCAAAAAAACUUUAUUAAAUGCCAUGAUAGACAAGAUGAGCCUUAAGAGGAGAUUUGGGAAGAUGCUGUUUCAUAAGUCUUUGCUUUGCCAGAUUAUUUGUGGUUGGGGUGUCUGCCAACGUGAUGCCUUGCUGGUCUGGUUUGAGUUUGAAGUCUCUCACAGACAGUCCAGAAGGUCUGGAGUCCAUCUUAGCUUUCAUUGAUGCUGUCAUCAUUUUUUAAGUGCAUGAGCCAGAAUGGACGGGUGGUGGUGGCCAUUAGAAGACUGUCAACUAAACUAGGGUGACCAUACGUGCCAUUCUUCCCGGACCCGUCCUGUCCAGUCUUUUGGAACUCGUAUUUGUCGACCGCAUACGUCACAGAGGAUUAUUAUUAUUAUUACAGAAAAGCAACCGUUACAUUUUAAGGUAAGAAGAAUGAAACUACGAUUGUAUAUCUUAUGUUUUUAACUGAAUGGCGUAUGCGGUCAACAAAUACGACUUCCGGAAGACGCACCGAAAUCCUGGACGGGAUGCGUCCGGGAAGAAUGGCACGUAUGGUCACCCUAACUAAACCAACAACAAAAUUCAUAUUUGCAGUUAUAAAUAAAAUGACUUUUAAACCUGAUUUUGUUUUCUUAUUUUAUGAUUUCAUUCUAUAUUUGGAAUAUUCAAUUUUUGCACUACUAACUGGAAACUGUUUGAAAGAAUGUGUUUUUAUUAAAAGACAAAUUUCAAAGGUGAAUCAUAUGCCGGCUGGGAUAUCAAAAUAGCAUUAAAAUGACAUCAACAUCAUAACAUCCUGAUAUCAAAUAGAUGUAGAAUUGACAUCAAAAUGACAUCAGCAGGGGUCAAAAUCUUGACAUCAAAUUGACAUCAACACUUUGACGUCAAAAUGACUUUCAUUUUUGACCUAUUCUGUGACGUAAUUUUGACGUCGAUGUUUGAUGUCAAAUUGAUGUUAAAUUGACAUCAAAUGCCC